UACGUAGGUGGCAAGCGUUGUCCGGAUUUAUUGGGUUUAAAGGGUGCGUAGGCGGCCCUGUAAGUCAGUGGUGAAAUACUCCAGCUUAACUGGAGGGGUGCCAUUGAUACUGCAGGGCUUGAGUGGAGUCGAAGUAGGCGGAAUUGACGGUGUAGCAGUGAAAUGCUUAGAUAUCGUCAAGAACACCGAUAGUGAAGACAGCUUACUAGGCUUCUACUGACGCUGAGGCACGAAAGUGUGGGGAUCAAACAGG
Molecule: ribosomal RNA, 253 nt
Filed under: uncultured bacterium
Lineage: Bacteria
Description: partial 16S ribosomal RNA
Rfam family: Bacterial small subunit ribosomal RNA
Source: RNAcentral